RNAcentral lists this non-coding RNA (108 nucleotides) under Devosia limi. Its description in RNAcentral is "Glycine sequence". It matches the Rfam family "Glycine riboswitch aptamer". Rfam says of the family: This family represents the bacterial glycine riboswitch. Glycine riboswitches usually consist of two metabolite-binding aptamers domains with similar structures in tandem. The aptamers cooperatively bind glycine to regulate the expression of downstream genes. RNAcentral also lists the same sequence under 1 other name. The record is from RNAcentral. Lineage: Bacteria; Pseudomonadati; Pseudomonadota; Alphaproteobacteria; Hyphomicrobiales; Devosiaceae.
GCAUAAAACUCUGGAAAGCGGACCAGCACGCUGCAUGGUCCCACCGAAGGAGCAACCGACCCUUGCGGCUCGGGAAAUCUCUCAGGUGUCGAGGACAGAGGGGGCACG